GCCAUAGUGAGUUGUCAUGCUUCUCCUCUCCGAGAUGGACGCAGGUUAAGAUCUCUUCUGGAGCCUGUGAAGGCCAGAAGAGGGUGUUUGAUCCCCCUGGAAGCAGAGUUACAAGCAUUUGUGAGCAUCCCAGUGUGGGUGUUAGAAACAGAGCUUAGAUGCUCUGGAAGAACAGUGAAUGCACACCAGGAACCACCUUUUGAUGUCAUUUACCAGAAGAAGAAGAAGAAGAAGAAGAAGAAGAAGAAGAAGAAGAAGAAGAAGAAGAAGAAGAAGAAGAAGAAGAAGAAGAAGAAGAAAGAAAAGGUUCUUUAGCAACUGUGAUGGUUAGCAUUGUCAACUGGACAGAGCCUAGAAUUACCUAGGAUAGGUAAUGUCCACAGGUUAGCCCCUGGACAUGUCUAUGAGGGAUUAUCUACAUUGGGUUAGCCUCUGGACAUGUCUAUGAGGGAUUAUCUACAUUGGGUUAACCUCUGGACAUGUCUAUGAGGUAUUAUUUAUACUAGAUUAACCUCUGGACAUGUCUAUGAGGUAUUAUUUAUACUAGGUUAGCCUCUGGACAUGUCUAUGAGGUAUUAUUUAUACUAGGUUAGCCUCUGGACAUGUCUAUGAGGUAUUAUUUAUACUAGGUUAGCCUCUGGACAUGUCUAUGAGGUAUUAUUUAUACUAGGUUAGCCUCUGGACAUGUCUAUGAGGUAUUAUUUAUACUAGGUUAGCCUCUGGACAUGUCUAUGAGGUAUUAUUUAUACUAGGUUAGCCUCUGGACAUGUCUAUGAAGGAUUAUUUAUAUUAGGUUAACCUCUGGAUGUGUCUAUGAAAGAUGAUCUAUAUUGGGCUAGCCUCUGAAUGUGUCCAUGAGGGAUUAUCUAGAUUAGGUUAAUCUACAUAAUGACACGAGAAGAGCCACCUGAACUAUGGGUAGCACCAUUCUCUGGGCUGGGAUCCUAGACAAAUAAAACGGAGAAAAUAAGUUGAAUGUGA
This is a long non-coding RNA of Arvicola amphibius (Eurasian water vole), 981 nucleotides long. RefSeq lists it as uncharacterized. Lineage: Eukaryota; Metazoa; Chordata; Mammalia; Rodentia; Cricetidae. The transcript is spliced from 3 exons. The record is from RefSeq and is a predicted model, not a curated record.